This 253-nucleotide ribosomal RNA is filed under the name uncultured bacterium. RNAcentral describes it as "partial 16S ribosomal RNA". It matches the Rfam family "Bacterial small subunit ribosomal RNA", at positions 524 to 776 of the family's 1533-position model. The record is from RNAcentral.
UACGUAGGGUGCGAGCGUUAAUCGGAAUUACUGGGCGUAAAGCGUGCGCAGGCGGUUCGUGAAGUCCGAUGUGAAAGCCCUGGGCUUAACCUAGGAAUGGCAUUGGAAACUGGCGGGCUAGAGUGCGGCAGAGGGGGGUGGAAUUCCUGGUGUAGCAGUGAAAUGCGUAGAUAUCAGGAGGAAUACCGAUGGCGAAGGCAGGUCUCUGGGCUGACACUGACGCUCAUGCACGAAAGCGUGGGGAGCAAACAGG